GAUAACACUUAGAAAUAGGUGCUAAUACCGCAUAAGCGCACGGCUCCGCAUGGGGCAGUGUGAAAAACUCCGGUGGUAUACGAUGGAUCCGCGUCUGAUUAGCUAGUUGGCGGGGUAACGGCCCACCAAGGCAGCGAUCAGUAGCCGGCCUGAGAGGGUGGACGGCCACAUUGGGACUGAGACACGGCCCAAACUCCUACGGGAGGCAGCAGUGGGGAAUAUUGCACAAUGGGGGAAACCCUGAUGCAGCGACGCCGCGUGAGUGAAGAAGUAUCUCGGUACGUAAAGCUCUAUCAGCAGGGAAGAAAAUGACGGUACCUGACUAAGAAGCCCCGGCUAACUACGUGCCAGCAGCCGCGGUAAUACGUAGGGGGCAAGCGUUAUCCGGAUUUACUGGGUGUAAAGGGAGCGUAGACGGCAGCACAAGUCUGGAGUGAAAUCCCGGGGCUUAACCCCGGAACUGCUUUGGAAACUGUGCGGCUGGAGUGCAGGAGGGGUAAGCGGAAUUCCUAGUGUAGCGGUGAAAUGCGUAGAUAUUAGGAGGAACACCGGUGGCGAAGGCGGCUUACUGGACUGUAACUGACGUUGAGGCUCGAAAGCGUGGGGAGCAAACAGGAUUAGAUACCCUGGUAGUCCACGCCGUAAACGAUGAUUACUAGGUGU
Molecule: ribosomal RNA, 663 nt
Filed under: uncultured bacterium
Lineage: Bacteria
Description: bacterial SSU rRNA
Rfam family: Bacterial small subunit ribosomal RNA
Source: RNAcentral